AUACGGAGGGUGCAAGCGUUGUUCGGAAUCACUGGGCAUAAAGAGCACGUAGGCGGUCUACUAAGUCAGAUGUGAAGUCCCUCGGCUCAACCGGGGAACUGCAUUUGAUACUGGUAGACUAGAGGACGCUAGGGGUGAGUGGAACUCCAGGUGGAGCGGUGAAAUGCGUAGAUAUCAGGAGGAAUACCAGUGGCGAAGGCGGCUUUCUGGACCAAUACUGACGCUGAGGUGCGAAAGCGUGGGGAGCAAACAGAAUUAGAAACCCCAGUAGUCC
Molecule: ribosomal RNA, 274 nt
Filed under: uncultured bacterium
Lineage: Bacteria
Description: partial 16S ribosomal RNA
Rfam family: Bacterial small subunit ribosomal RNA
Source: RNAcentral